GGGUGGCAAAGGGUGGAAGGCUGCCAUGUGGCCCCCUCUAUCCAGGCAUGGCUUCGCCCCGGGGAUCACUGUAAGUCCUCUGAGCAGGACCCCCUUUUCCCGGCACCCCUGGGGGGGGUCCACGUCUCUUUCUUCCUGCUGGGACUCACCUGGGGUACGCUGACCUUCCUUUCCUUUGGCGUCAAAGAGCCCCCCUUCCUCUUCAAAACAAGCAUUGCCAGAGAAUCUCUUACUACAGGUGCCAGCACCAUGUCUAGGGACUUUUUCCAACUUGAUUCUAAUUUCCCAGAGUGCCUGGCAGCUCGAGUGUUAGGCUUUUCACUCGUCUCUUUUGUUCACCACCCAGAGGAGCUUCCUGUUUCAGCUGUAAACGACAACAUUGAACGCACGCCCAUGAAUUUUUGCCUAGAACAUUCUGAAGUCUACGUGCGGUCGUGGUUUAGGAUUGAGUAAACGGGUCUAGAAGCAGACUGCCUGGCUUGGAACUUGGUUCAAUCGCUUACCAGCUAUGGAAUCUUGGGAAGUAAGUAGACCUUCUGGGUUUCAGUUUUCCCAUCUGUGUAGUGGGAGUAUUCACUGUAAUUAACCCUAUCAAAGUCGUUUUGUGGUUUAAAUGAGUUAACAACAACUUCUAGAACAGAGCCCAGAAUAAGGUGUGAGCUCAUUAAAUAUUGGUUACAUUGUUGCUCUUGACCAAGAGAAUGAGCUUUUUGUGCUUAGCUUCUCAGACUUUUCCCUCUGUAUUUAUCGAUCAUUCUUUGCUUUCUACCUCUGGUCAUUUGCCCAUCACAUAGGAGACACCACUCUCUCUCAUAGUUUAUUCUAUUUUUAAAAAUCUUUAUUCUUAUGAUGUUUUUGCAAUCCUUACCAAAAUACCAACAGCAUUUUUCACAGAACCAGAACAAAUAACGCUAGAGUUUGGAUGGAACCACGAAAGACCCUGGAUAGGCAAGACAGUCUUGAAAAACAAGAGCAAAGUUGGAAGGAGCAAAACCCCAGAUUUCAAGGUAUGCUAAAGUUGUAGUUGUGGUAAUUGGGGCGCAUGGCUGGCUCGGUCAGUAGAGCACGUGACUCUUGAUCUGCGGGUUGUAAAUUCGAGCCCCACGUUGAGUGUAGAGAUUACUUAAAAAAAAAAAUUGUAAAAAAAAAAACCCCACCAAAGUUACAGUAAUCAAAACUGUAUGGUCCUGGCACAAAAAUGAACACAUAAAUCAAUGGACCAGGACAGAGAGCCCAGAAAUAAAC
Molecule: long non-coding RNA, 1245 nt
Filed under: Felis catus (domestic cat)
Lineage: Eukaryota; Metazoa; Chordata; Mammalia; Carnivora; Felidae
Description: lncRNA (ENSFCAG00000049683.1)
Source: RNAcentral